CCUACGGGAGGCAGCAGUGGGGAAUCUUGCGCAAUGGGCGGAAGCCUGACGCAGCAACGCCGCGUGUGGGAAGACGGCUUUCGGGUUGUAAACCACUUUCAGGGGGGACGAAGCUUCCGAGGUUAAUAGCCUACGGGGUGACGGUACCCCCAGAAGAAGCCCCGGCUAACUACGUGCCAGCAGCCGCGGUAAUACGUAGGGGGCGAGCGUUGUCCGGAAUCAUUGGGCGUAAAGCGCGUGUAGGCGGCUUGAUAAGUCUGGUGUGAAAUCUUGGGGCUUAACCCCAAGCCUGCACUGGAUACUGUCAAGCUUGAGUCCGGGAGGGGAGAGCGGAAUUCCUAGUGUAGCGGUGAAAUGCGCAGAUAUUAGGAAGAACACCGGUGGCGAAGGCGGCUCUCUGGAACGGUACUGACGCUGAGACGCGAAAGCGUGGGGAGCGAACAGGAUUAGAUACCCUGGUAGUCCACGCCGUAAACGAUGGGCACUAGAUGUGGGCGGUGUCGACUCCGUCCGUGUCGAAGCUAACGCAUUAAGUGCCCCGCCUGGGGNGACGCGCAGCAACACAAGAGUAGACGCGNGAGAGNGCGACGCGACGACGAGGAGAGG
This 606-nucleotide ribosomal RNA is filed under the name uncultured bacterium. RNAcentral's name for it is "bacterial SSU rRNA". The stretch from base 1 to 543 matches the Rfam family "Bacterial small subunit ribosomal RNA", at positions 338 to 873 of the family's 1533-position model. The record is from RNAcentral.